ACGAACGCUGGCGGCGUGCUUAACACAUGCAAGUCGAACGGAAAGGCCCUGCUUUUGUGGGGUGCUCGAGUGGCGAACGGGUGAGUAACACGUGAGUAACCUGGCCUUGACUUUGGGAUAACUUCAGGAAACUGGGGCUAAUACCGGAUAGGAGCUCCUGCUGCAUGGUGGGGGUUGGAAAGUUUCGGCGGUUGGGGAUGGACUCGCGGCUUAUCAGCUUGUUGGUGGGGUAGUGGCUUACCAAGGCUUUGACGGGUAGCCGGCCUGAGAGGGUGACCGGCCACAUUGGGACUGAGAUACGGCCCAGACUCCUACGGGAGGCAGCAGUGGGGAAUAUUGCACAAUGGGCGGAAGCCUGAUGCAGCAACGCCGCGUGCGGGAUGACGGCCUUCGGGUUGUAAACCGCUUUCGCCUGUGACGAAGCGUGAGUGACGGUAAUGGGUAAAGAAGCACCGGCUAACUACGUG
This 467-nucleotide ribosomal RNA is filed under the name uncultured bacterium. Its description in RNAcentral is "partial 16S ribosomal RNA". It matches the Rfam family "Bacterial small subunit ribosomal RNA", at positions 29 to 507 of the family's 1533-position model. The record is from RNAcentral.